RNAcentral lists this ribosomal RNA (585 nucleotides) under uncultured bacterium. Its description in RNAcentral is "bacterial SSU rRNA". It matches the Rfam family "Bacterial small subunit ribosomal RNA", at positions 338 to 916 of the family's 1533-position model. The record is from RNAcentral.
CCUACGGGAGGCAGCAGUGGGGAAUUUUGGACAAUGGGGGCAACCCUGAUCCAGCAAUGCCGCGUGUGUGAAGAAGGCCUUCGGGUUGUAAAGCACUUUUGUCCGGGAAGAAAUCCCCUGCCCUAAUACGGCGGGGGGAUGACGGUACCGGAAGAAUAAGCACCGGCUAACUACGUGCCAGCAGCCGCGGUAAUACGUAGGGUGCGAGCGUUAAUCGGAAUUACUGGGCGUAAAGCGUGCGCAGGCGGUGAUGUAAGACCGAUGUGAAAUCCCCGGGCUCAACCUGGGAACUGCAUUGGUGACUGCAUUGCUCGAGUAUGGCAGAGGGGGGUGGAAUUCCACGUGUAGCAGUGAAAUGCGUAGAGAUGUGGAGGAACACCGAUGGCGAAGGCAGCCCCCUGGGCCAAUACUGACGCUCAUGCACGAAAGCGUGGGGAGCAAACAGGAUUAGAUACCCUGGUAGUCCACGCCCUAAACGAUGUCAACUGGUUGUCGGGCCUUCAUUGGCUUGGUAACGUAGCUAACGCGUGAAGUUGACCGCCUGGGGAGUACGGUCGCAAGAUUAAAACUCAAAGGAAUUGACGG